Molecule: ribosomal RNA, 400 nt
Filed under: uncultured bacterium
Lineage: Bacteria
Description: bacterial SSU rRNA
Rfam family: Bacterial small subunit ribosomal RNA
Source: RNAcentral
GGGGAAUAUUGCACAAUGGGGGCAACCCUGAUCCAGCAAUGCCGCGUGUGUGAAGAAGGUCUUCGGAUUGUAAAGCACUUUCGACGGGGACGAUGAUGACGGUACCCGUAGAAGAAGCCCCGGCUAACUUCGUGCCAGCAGCCACGGUAAUACGAAGGGGGCUAGCGUUGCUCGGAAUGACUGGGCGUAAAGGGCGCGUAGGCGGUUGACACAGUCAGGUGUGAAAUUCCCGGGCUUAACCUGGGGGCUGCAUUUGAGACGUGUUGACUAGAGUGUGAGAGAGGGUUGUGGAAUUCUCAGUGUAGAGGUGAAAUUCGUAGAUAUUGGGAAGAACACCGGUGGCGAAGGCGGCAACCUGGCUCAUAACUGACGCUGAGGCGCGAAAGCGUGGGGAGCAAAC